Molecule: non-coding RNA, 96 nt
Organism: Acanthosepion pharaonis
Lineage: Eukaryota; Metazoa; Mollusca; Cephalopoda; Sepiida; Sepiidae
Source: the annotation of a GenBank genome assembly
UGUUGAAACAACAGUUCUCCUAAAAACCCAAGUUAAGCAAUGUUGGGCCUGGUCAGUACCUAGAUGGGUGACCACUUGGGAAUACCAGGUGCUGUU